UACGAAGGGGGCUAGCGUUGUUCGGAAUUACUGGGCGUAAAGGGCGCGUAGGCGGUACUUCAAGUCAGGCGUGAAAGCCCCCGGCUCAACUGGGGAGGGUCACGCGAUACUGAUCGACUCGAAGGCAGGAGAGGGUAGUGGAAUUCCCGGUGUAGUGGUGAAAUGCGUAGAUAUCGGGAGGAACACCAGUGGCGAAGGCGACUACCUGGCCUGUUUCUUGACGCUGAGGCGCGAAAGCUAGGGGAGCGAACAGG
This 254-nucleotide ribosomal RNA is filed under the name uncultured bacterium. RNAcentral's name for it is "partial 16S ribosomal RNA". It matches the Rfam family "Bacterial small subunit ribosomal RNA", at positions 524 to 776 of the family's 1533-position model. The record is from RNAcentral.